GGGCCCGUAGCUCAAGCGGAUAGAGCAUCGGAUUUCUAAUCCGAGGGUUGCAGGUUCGACUCCUGCCGGGCCUACCA
RNAcentral lists this transfer RNA (77 nucleotides) under Terriglobia bacterium. Its description in RNAcentral is "tRNA-Arg". It matches the Rfam family "tRNA". Rfam says of the family: Transfer RNA (tRNA) molecules are approximately 80 nucleotides in length. Their secondary structure includes four short double-helical elements and three loops (D, anti-codon, and T loops). Lineage: Bacteria; Pseudomonadati; Acidobacteriota; Terriglobia. RNAcentral also lists the same sequence under 4 other names. The record is from RNAcentral.